Molecule: ribosomal RNA, 253 nt
Filed under: uncultured bacterium
Lineage: Bacteria
Description: partial 16S ribosomal RNA
Rfam family: Bacterial small subunit ribosomal RNA
Source: RNAcentral
UACGAGGGGUCCAAGCGUUGUUCGGCAUCAUUGGGCGUAAAGCGCGCGCAGGCGGAUCAGCAAGUCAGGUGUGAAAUCUCGAGGCUCACCCUCGAAACUGCGCCUGAAACUGCUAGUCUAGAAUGUCGGAGGGGGUAGGGGAAUUUCACGUGUAGGAGUAAAAUGCGUAGAGAUGUGAAGGAACACCGGAGGCGAAGGCGCCUACCUGGACGACUAUUGACGCUGAGGCGCGAAAGCGUGGGGAGCAAACAGG